UGGGCGUAAAGAGCUCGUAGGCGGUUUGUCGCGUCUGCUGUGAAAACCCGAGGCUCAACCUCGGGCCUGCAGUGGGUACGGGCAGACUAGAGUGCGGUAGGGGAGAAUGGAAUUCCUGGUGUAGCGGUGGAAUGCGCAGAUAUCAGGAGGAACACCGAUGGCGAAGGCAGUUCUCUGGGCCGUUACUGACGCUGAGGAGCGAAAGCGUGGGGAGCGAACAGGAUUAGAUACCCUGGUAGUCCACGCCGUAAACGUUGGGAACUAGAUGUGGGGACCUUUCCACGGUCUCCGUGUCGCAGCUAACGCAUUAAGUUCCCCGCCUGGGGAGUACGGCCGCAAGGCUAAAACUCAAAGGAAUUGACGGGGGCCCGCACAAGCGGCGGAGCAUGCGGAUUAAUUCGAUGCAACGCGAAGAACCUUACCAAGGCUUGACAUAUACCGGAAACUUUCAGAAAUGGUUGCCCCGCAAGGUCGGUAUACAGGUGGUGCAUGGUUGUCGUCAGCUCGUGUCGUGAGAUGUUGGGUUAAGUCCCGCAACGAGCGCAACCCUCGUUCUAUGUUGCCAGCACGUCAUGGUGGGAACUCAUAGGAGACUGCCGGGGUCAACUCGGAGGAAGGUGGGGAUGACGUCAAAUCAUCAUGCCCCUUAUGUCUUGGGCUUCACGCAUGCUACAAUGGCCGGUACAAAGGGCUGCGAUACCGUAAGGUGGAGCGAAUCCCAAAAAGCCGGUCUCAGUUCGGAUUGAGGUCUGCAACUCGACCUCAUGAAGUCGGAGUCGCUAGUAAUC
This 788-nucleotide ribosomal RNA is filed under the name uncultured bacterium. Its description in RNAcentral is "bacterial SSU rRNA". It matches the Rfam family "Bacterial small subunit ribosomal RNA", at positions 555 to 1343 of the family's 1533-position model. The record is from RNAcentral.